UGCUUCCUUGUGCAGCUUUCGUUCAUAUCUUUAGGCUUUUAAAGUCCUGUUUAUGAAUUUUAUUUGGAAAGUAAUAUAUUACUUAUUAUAUCAGAUACACUGCGUUAUAUAGGGAGAUUCAAGCAUUGUACAGGAAGCAGUAUUAUGG
RNAcentral lists this non-coding RNA (148 nucleotides) under Polytomella parva. The record is from RNAcentral. Lineage: Eukaryota; Viridiplantae; Chlorophyta; Chlorophyceae; Chlamydomonadales; Chlamydomonadaceae.